This 254-nucleotide ribosomal RNA is filed under the name uncultured bacterium. RNAcentral's name for it is "partial 16S ribosomal RNA". It matches the Rfam family "Bacterial small subunit ribosomal RNA", at positions 524 to 776 of the family's 1533-position model. The record is from RNAcentral.
UACGAAGGGUGCAAACGUUGCUCGGAAUUAUUGGGCGUAAAGCGCACGUAGGCGGCUUGGCAAGUCGGAUGUGAAACCUCCAGGCUCAACCUGGAGACGCCACUCGAUACUGGCGUGACUAGAGUUCGGUAGGGGAUCACGGAAUUCCUGGUGUAGCGGUGAAAUGCGCAGAUAUCAGGAGGAACACCGGUGGCGAAGGCGGUGAUCUGGGCCGACACUGACGCUGUAGAGCGAAAGCGUGGGGAGCGAACAGG